CCUACGGGAGGCUGCAGUGGGGAAUAUUGGACAAUGGGGGCAACCCUGAUCCAGCCAUGCCGCGUGUGUGAAGAAGGCCCUCGGGUUGUAAAGCACUUUCAGUGAGGAAGAACGCCUGGUGGUUAAUACCCAUCAGGAAAGACAUCACUCACAGAAGAAGCACCGGCUAACUCCGUGCCAGCAGCCGCGGUAAUACGGAGGGUGCGAGCGUUAAUCGGAAUUACUGGGCGUAAAGCGCGCGUAGGUGGCUUGAUAAGCCGGUUGUGAAAGCCCCGGGCUCAACCUGGGAACGGCAUCCGGAACUGUCAAGCUAGAGUGCAGGAGAGGAAGGUGGAAUUCCCGGUGUAGCGGUGAAAUGCGUAGAGAUCGGGAGGAAUACCAGUGGCGAAGGCGGCCUUCUGGACUGACACUGACACUGAGGUGCGAAAGCGUGGGUAGCAAACAGGAUUUAGAUACCCUGGUAGUC
Molecule: ribosomal RNA, 466 nt
Filed under: Vreelandella stevensii
Lineage: Bacteria; Pseudomonadati; Pseudomonadota; Gammaproteobacteria; Oceanospirillales; Halomonadaceae
Description: partial 16S ribosomal RNA
Rfam family: Bacterial small subunit ribosomal RNA
Source: RNAcentral